This 3595-nucleotide long non-coding RNA is filed under the name Canis lupus familiaris (dog). Its description in RNAcentral is "lncRNA (ENSCAFG00000058827.1)". The record is from RNAcentral. Lineage: Eukaryota; Metazoa; Chordata; Mammalia; Carnivora; Canidae.
UUAAAGUUUGGUAGAAUUUGUCUGUGAACCCAUCUGCUCUUGGACUUUUGUUUUUUGGGAGUUUUUUUUUAAUUAUUACUGAUCCAAUUUUAUUGCUAGUAAUCAGUCUGUUCAAAUUUUCUAUUUCUUUCUGAUUUAGUUUUGGAAGGUUACAAAUGGAUUUUACCCAUUUCUUCUAUGUUGUCCAAUUUGAAUUUAAGAGAUACAAUCCCAUUUACAAUUGCACCAAAAAUAAUAAAAUACCCAGGAAUAAACUUAACGAAGGAGGUGAAAGAUCUGUACUCCAAAAACUAUAAAACAUUGAUGAAAGAAAUUGAAGAUGACACAAAAAUUUUAAAAUAUUCCAUGCUCAGGAAUUGGAAGAAUCAAUAUUAUUAAAAUGUCCAUUUCACCCAAAGCAAUCUAUAGAUUUAAUGAGAUCUCUAUCAGUAUACCAACAUCAUUUUUCACAGACCUAGAACAAAUAAACUUUGUUUGGAACAACAAAAGACCCUGAAUAGCCAAAGCAACCUUGAGAAAGAAGAACAAAGCAGAGGUAUCACAGUCUCAGAUUUCAAGAUAUACUACAAAGCUGUAGUAAUAAAAAAAAAAUGAUCCUGGCACAAAAAUGGACACAUAGAUCAAUAGAACAGAAUAGAGAGCCCAGAAAUAAACCCACAUUUAUAUGGUCCAUUCAUCUACAAUAACAGAAGUAAGAUUAUACGAUAGGGAAAAGGCAGUCUCUUCAACGAAUGGUUUUAGGAAAACUGGGCCACUUAUAAUACCAUACACAAAAAUAAAAUCAAAAUGGAUUUUAAAAAGUAGGGGGGAGAAGGAGAAGAAGAAGGUAUUAAUAGAAAUGGUUUCUGAAAAAGCACAGGCGUUCACUUACUGGACAAUGGUAUUAAGUCAAUUGUCUUAAAAGUUAACUACAUGACUAUGGUCUGUUUUCAUUGGACUUAGAGGAUAUUUUAUUCUCUUUUAAAGGGCACUCCUUUAUCCCUCCAAAAUGUUAUAUCACUCAGUGUGAUAAUUUAAAAUUUUACAAAAGGGCAAUCAAGGAGUUAUUCCCAGAAACUAUAAGACAUUCUCAAGAGUUUACACCAGUAUUCAAUUUGGCACUAAACUCAACCAUCUGUUGCAACCAGUGACUUCUCAUGGGUAAAGGGUUAACAAUCUAUCUAUCUAUCUCUUGCUCCAGUGAUUAAUCUGACCUACGAUUAACUUUCUAGCUCUUUUCUGAUAAUCUGACACAUGUAAAAUGUCCUCUAUGUUACCAGAAAACACUACUUUUUGGUAAAAAUGACUCUUGAAUGGUAAAUAGUAUCCAUGUUAAAAGGACUAUAUAUGAACUGUAAGUACAAAGUAAGAAACCUAUGCUAUAUUUCCUCUCCUACAUCUUUCCAAGAAAGUGAACAGUGUGGCCUAUUAGGGCUUGUUGGUGUGAAUGAUUAGAUGAACCUGAGAUAAACUCCUGGUGGUCAUUGAGAAACCAUGCACUCAUUUGGCCAGACUUUCAGGUCCUCAGCUAAGAUCAGUCAAGGCAACAUGAGUUAAAAGGAUUGGGGGAGGGGCACCUGGGUGGCUCAAUUGAUUGAGCAUCCAGUUUCUGAUUUUGGCUCAGGUCUUGAUCUCAGGGUCCAUGCUAAGGGGUUCCAUACUCAGUAGGGAGUCUGCCUGAGGAUUCUCUCUCUCCCUCUGCUCCUCCCCCAGCUCAUGCUCACAUACUUUCUCCCUCAAAUAAAAACAAAUCUUUUUAAAAAAGGAAUGGUGAAGGAUUGGAAGGUGCAUCCACCUGUGGCUUGAUGCCUAAAUCUCUUUGGUACAUGACAGGAUAAAUCCUUUUGUGAAGGUGAAGACUGGAAUAAGGCCAAAUUUGUGUCACAAUGAAGAACCAUCUCCACUUCCAUGAAUUGGACCUCACUAAAACCAGUUGUAGCUGGGCUAGCAGAGAUGAUACCACUGUUCAUGGAGCCAUCUGAGUAGGUAUGAUUAAUAUAUGCCAAACUGGGCAUUAAUGACUGGCUGAGGGCACACCAGCCCAUGGAUCCCAUGUUUGUGACUGAGACAAAACAGUGGGACUAUAAUUUUGCAAAAGGUCAAGCAGAAGCUAGUCCCGGGGGUACCUGGCUGGCUCAGUGGUUGAGUGUUUGCCUUUGGCUCAGUUGGUGAUCCCAGGGUUCUGGGAUUGAGUCCUACAUCAGACUCCCUACAGGGAGCCUGCUUCUCCCUCUGCCUAUGUCUCUGUCUCUCAUGAAUAAAUAAGUAAAAUCUUAAAAAAAAAAAAAGAAGAAGCUAAUCCCAGAAACUAAGACAUACACUCAUGAGUCUAUACCAUUCCAGCUCUGAUCUGCAUGGAAAAGCACUUAAAAGCCCUUGUAGGGAACAAAAGCUAGCAGGACAGACAGGCCCCACAGCUGCCUUACUCCCUCCGCAGCAUCCUAAGAGCAGCAAUGGCAGCUGUGAUGUUCACAGGGCAGCAUCCUGCACCUACACCAGAGUCUUUACAGCCACACCUACCUAGAACCACCUACAGGUAGAUAUUAGAGGUACUCUUACAGAGUGGGAAGAGGCAGAUGAGAUCACAUUUGUACUCCACCCUUUGUGGUCACAGGAAAUCUUUUUAGUCACAGGAUCUUUGACACAAUUCCCAUAAAAAUGGAUAUGUGUUUUUUUCCAAUUCACAUUAGACCAAAAGCAACAAAUUGAACGUGACAAGAUCUGGCAUUGGAUAAUCUGAAAACAUCAAGUUCCUACAGUUGACAUGCUGAUAAAACAGGAAAAGAGUGAAAUAUUAAAAAGUACAUUGAAGAAAUCAGAAAGCAUGUCAAUUUGAAGCUGCCAUGUGUAAGAGAUAACAGUUUUCCCAGAGCCCAGAAAGUCUCACUGUACAACAGAUUAUAGGCAUCGAUGUUCAUGAUACUGAUGCUUAGUGAAUGAGAAAAGAUUACCUGUCUGACGGGUGGAGGCAGGUGCAGGAACAGAUGCCAUACUUGGGACUGGUACAAAGGGUUGGAAUAUGAGGUUCAUUCUACCCUAUUCAGGGACUGAUCUACACAUGUAAACAUCUAGAAGCUCCCAGGAGAUAAGAGUAGACAACAUUACUUAAGUAGGGCCUUGUGGAGCAGAAAAAAUUGAAAGCAGAUUUUGACUACUUGUUCAGUUUUAUUAACAAAAGGAUCCACUGUUCAUUACCUGAGGGCACAUUGGAAAUAGUAAAUAGUUAAGAGAUAAAUAGGGUCUCAAUCAACCAUUCUUUGGAAGAGUAAAACUCUUCUGUCUAGAGAAUUUCAUUACAAAAUGGCAUAUGGGGGGAUCCUGGGUGGCUCAGUGGUUUAGCACCUGCCUUUGGCCCAGGGCGUGAUCCUGGAGUCCCGGAAUCAAGUCCCGCGACAGGCUCCCAGCAUGGAACCUGCUUCUCCCUUCUCCUGUGUCUCUGCCUCUCUCUCUCUCUGUCUAUCAUAAAUAAAUAAAUAAAUAAAUAAAUAAAUAAAUAAAUAAAUAAACAAACAAAUAAAUAAAUCUUUAAAAAAUAAUGGCAUAUGGCUAAAAGUCCCUAGGGGUGUCUGGGUGGUUCAGUUGAUUAAGCAUCGAACUCUUAGUUUCGACUUAGGUC